RNAcentral lists this ribosomal RNA (496 nucleotides) under uncultured bacterium. Its description in RNAcentral is "partial 16S ribosomal RNA". It matches the Rfam family "Bacterial small subunit ribosomal RNA", at positions 30 to 523 of the family's 1533-position model. The record is from RNAcentral.
AUUGAACGCUGGCGGAAUGCUUUACACAUGCAAGUCGAACGGUAGAGGGGGCAACCCCUCGAGAGUGGCGAACGGGUGAGUAAUAUAUCGGAACGUGCCCAGUCGUGGGGGAUAACGUAGCGAAAGUUACGCUAAUACCGCAUACGAUCUAAGGAUGAAAGCGGGGGACCGUAAGGCCUCGCGCGAUUGGAGCGGCCGAUAUCAGAUUAGGUAGUUGGUGAGGGAAAGGCUCACAAAGCCAACGAUCUGUAGCUGGUCUGAGAGGACGACCAGCCACACAGGAACUGAGACACGGUCCAGACUCCUACGGGAGGCAGCAGUGGGGAAUUUUGGACAAUGGACGCAAGUCUGAUCCAGCCAUUCCGCGUGCAGGAUGAAGGCCCUCGGGUUGUAAACUGCUUUUGUACGGAACGAAAAGGUCUCUCCUAAUACGAGGGGCUCAUGACGGUACCGUAAGAAUAAGCACCGGCUAACUACGUGCCAGCAGCCGCCGUAA